CCUACGGGAGGCUGCAGUGGGGAAUAUUGGACAAUGGGCGAAAGCCUGAUCCAGCCAUGCCGCGUGUGUGAAGAAGGCCUUCGGGUUGUAAAGCACUUUCAGCGGGGAAGAAAGCCUUGGGGCUAAUACCCUCGAGGAAGGACAUCACCCACAGAAGAAGCACCGGCUAACUCCGUGCCAGCAGCCGCGGUAAUACGGAGGGUGCGAGCGUUAAUCGGAAUUACUGGGCGUAAAGCGCGCGUAGGCGGUCUGAUAAGCCGGUUGUGAAAGCCCCGGGCUCAACCUGGGAACGGCAUCCGGAACUGUCAGGCUAGAGUGCAGGAGAGGAAGGUAGAAUUCCCGGUGUAGCGGUGAAAUGCGUAGAGAUCGGGAGGAAUACCAGUGGCGAAGGCGGCCUUCUGGACUGACACUGACGCUGAGGUGCGAAAGCGUGGGUAGCAAACAGGAUUAGAUACCCCAGUAGUC
RNAcentral lists this ribosomal RNA (465 nucleotides) under Vreelandella stevensii. Its description in RNAcentral is "partial 16S ribosomal RNA". It matches the Rfam family "Bacterial small subunit ribosomal RNA", at positions 338 to 795 of the family's 1533-position model. The record is from RNAcentral. Lineage: Bacteria; Pseudomonadati; Pseudomonadota; Gammaproteobacteria; Oceanospirillales; Halomonadaceae.